AGGAAAAAGAGAAAAGAAGUGUGGUGUGUAAGAACAUUUACAGAACAAGUGACUCUGCAAUCCAAGGUUUCGCUGUAUUUAAAGUGGAGAGAAAGCGAGAGAAGCAUCAGCAGUACCGAGUAUUUGGAUGCAGCUAUUCGGUUGCUAUCAAGUUUUGAAUACAUUUUGGGUUCCGUGUUGAUGGAGGAAGGAAAUAUCCAGGUUGUUUCACUGAUGCUUACUGGUGGAAAAGGAUAUGAAUAAGAAAUAACUCCAGUAAUUUUACCCCUCCAUUAAAACCCAUCACUUUGGCACUUCUGAGGUUGUGAGUCGGGGGUCUGUCCCCUGCAUCACAGUUGCCUCCUUUCCAAAUGGACGACAAGCAGGUAUAAAAUGCUGUCUGACCCGGGACAAUAGCUCAGAAUAGUACAUGCCACUUGGUGGAUUAAAAAUUUAUAAGAUAUUUUUCCAUCUCUGCUUGGAAUACAACUGAAUAUAUUCUUGUCUCGUGGAAAGGGAUUUCUUAGUCAGAGCUGAAGAGAUGUGUAACACCUUAAAUUCUGUGGGGUUUGCCUUCCUAAUUAUAUUACACAAGAA
Hyaena hyaena (striped hyena) is the source of this 576-nucleotide long non-coding RNA. RefSeq lists it as uncharacterized. The transcript is spliced from 3 exons. The record is from RefSeq and is a predicted model, not a curated record. NCBI's taxonomy places the organism in Eukaryota, Metazoa, Chordata, Mammalia, Carnivora, Hyaenidae.